GGAAGGGAGCACCGUUUUCAUACCUGGCUUGGCUUAGCUGCACGAGAGAAGAAAAGGCCGUGGCUGAAUCCAUCUCCAGGAGCAGCUGUCCCCCUGCACCGUUUGAAUUGCGAGGAAAGAGUUACAGUUUUAGAAAAGAAUACCUGACACAAUGAACAAAAACCAGAGCUUUUGAAUACAGAUUUCCAGUAAAACCAAACCCAGCUUGGGUCAGAUGCACCUUUCCAGCAACCACCAUCUCAGCAACAACCUGCCAGCUGUCAACUGGAAGUUCAGCUUCUGGGAACUUCAGCCCCCUUCUCAGAGGAGCAAGGUCCUAGCACCAACAGCACCUGCAGUGGAGCCCAAGUAUGGCUGCUUCAUGGAGAAGGCAGAUAUUGAAAUGUGAUCACUGAGGCUCAGUGGGAAUCCCUUUGCUCUCAAACUCCCCGAUGCAAUGCCUUCUGAUUUCAACAGAAAAGCAAGAGGCUCCAGGCACCCCAUUCAGGGACUGCCACCAAAGUACCCGCAAAUCCUUCAUGAAAGGGGAGACAUUGACACAUUCUUUUUUUAUUCUCUGGUAGGUAUCUGUUUGCGUGCAAAUCCGUGAGUGCUUGCAUCUCGUGUAUUUGAAAAUCCUGUUUAAGAAU
This 629-nucleotide long non-coding RNA is filed under the name Homo sapiens (human). RNAcentral's name for it is "non-protein coding LINC01533:16". Lineage: Eukaryota; Metazoa; Chordata; Mammalia; Primates; Hominidae. The record is from RNAcentral.